UAAGAGAAAUUUAAUAAUAAACGAAGUGAAUUGAAAUAUCUUAGUAACUUUAGGAAAAGAAAUCAAAAGAGAUUCUAUGAUUAGCGUGAGCUAAAAUAGACUAGCCUAAAAAGUCAAAUGGUGGAUAAACUGUUUAAAUUAAAUGGGGAACCUUCCUCAAAGGCUAAAUAUAAUAUAUAAGCGAUAGUGGAAAGUACCGUGAGGGAACCAAAACAAAAACAGUGAUUUUAUAAGCAGUUCGGUAAAAUAAAAAAAAGUUAGAACGUACCUUUUGCAUAAUGGGUCACCAAGUUAACAUUAGAUGCGAGUAGGAGGGAGCAGCCCCGUGCAUACGUAGUUAAACCGAGCGUUAAAAUAACGGUAAGUAUCUAAAGUUAGACCCGAAGCCUGGUGAUUUUACCAUAAUCAGGAUUAUAAAAGUCCGAACGGAAUAUUGUAGCAUAAAUAUCCGAAGAAUUAUGGUAGGUGUAGUGAAAGACAAUACUGACCAGGAUAGCUGGUUUUCUGCGAAACCUAUAACAGUAGGCAAUUUAAGUAUAAUAUCUUAGCAGGUACAGAAUUUAAUCUCAGACAAGACAUAAGGCUUAGCUUGUUAGCAAGUAAAGCUCAUGUUUUAUUUUGUACAAAUUGGGGGAUCAUGAAGAUUUUAUCAGUGAGUAUGUAGACUCGGAAUGGCAAAGAUAUAUCUUAAAUCAUCAGACAUAGAAUGAUAAGGUUGUAUGUCAAAAGGGAAACAGCCCAGAACAAGAGUUAAGGUUCCUAAAUUAUUAGUUGAGUGAAAUUAAGAAGGUUUUUAUUAAAGUCGACAAGGAGAUAGGCUUAGAAGCAGCCAUAAUUUUAUGACCUCGUAACAGAGCGCUUGUUAAGUUUUAAAAGCAUCGAAAAUUUAUCGGAUCUAAACAAUAUACCGAAACCUUGUCCAUAUUAUUUUAUAAUUAAAGCUUAAUUAUAAUUAAAUGGGGUAGCAGAACGUUGAGCUAAAUUAAGAUUUUUAUUUUUUAAAUGAAAUUAUAAUAAUUUAACUCAAGUGAUAAUGGUGACAUGAGUAACUAAAAGAAAAAAUAAAAUUUUUCCGCCUAAAGCUUAUGGAUGUAAUUAAGUAACGGCCUCUAAGUUUAUAUUAUCUAAAGAUUUAAACGAUGAGAUAAUCUUUUGUACUAAGGACGACAUUUUAAGUGAAAAAUGUACUGGAAAAAUAGUACUAAAUUAAUGGCUAUAGCUAAUUAGGGCUAUAGCUAUAAAUGAAAAGUAACCGUACCUAGAAUCUGAAACAAGUAAGCUAGUAGAGAAUACGAAGGCGUAAAUGAGCUAACAAUCAUAAAGGAACUCGGCAAAUUGACUACCGUAACUUCGGGAUAAGGAGAGCUCAUUAUUCUUGAUUAAUAUCAGGUAAAGAGGAAGAAGCAUGAAAUAGUGUUGUACGACUGUUUAAUUAAAACACAGCACUUUGCUGAAAGAUUAAAAAUCUAAGUAUAGAGUGUGAUGUCUGCCCGGUGCCGGCUGGUUAACAGAUAUAAUUAAAUAUACUAAUAUUUGAUGUAGACGGAAACCCCGGUUAAAGGCGGCCUUAACGUGAGGGUCCUAAGGUAGCGAAAUGCCUUGGCCGUUAAAUGCGGUCUUGCAUGAAUGAUGUAACGAUACAACAGCUGUCUCUAUGAUUGACUCAGUGAAAUUGGAAUAGCUGUGCAGAUACAGUUUACCUCUAGUUAGACGAGAAGACCCUAUGCAGCUUUACUGUCACUAAUUAUAGAGUAUGAUAAACAAUUUUCAGAUUAUAAGGUAAUUGACGGCUAGCUUGUUCAGCAAGCUAGCUCUAUGACAAUGAGAAUCCUUUAUUUUUUUUCAUAUGAAUGAAUUGGUUUAGGAUUAUGAGUAGGUAGCUGCUUCUGCUACUUGGCGCAAGCAUUGCUUGCGUCAAGUGUCUGAAGUAUGCAUUCCAGCUCAUGCAUAGUAAAUCAACCUAAUUCAGCUUAUUUUCCUUUCUGCCAUAAGCGCAUAAUGAUAGAUUUAACUUAAAUUUUGAUUUAUGCCGAGCCCCUCCGGGGCUACUGCAGAAAUAGAUAAGUACCCUUGGCUAAGGAACUAUCGCUAGGGGACAGUUUAUGUGGGGCACAGACCCUGUAAAGAGUAAACAGGAGUGUCUAAUAAUUUAUAAUUAUUUUGUUUGCGAUUUAAGAUAGUGAAACUAUUUUUAAUCAUAUAAAAUUAUUUAUAUGUACAUUCGUUGUAUAUAUAUUUAAAAAAAGGUAGGAUUUUCACUAUAUAGAAAUUAGAGAUAAUAAAAAUAUUAAGAAUAUACCUUUCAGGUAGCACUAAUAUUUUUUAGCUAUUAAGACAGGCUAUCAAGCUAGGCUCUAAUAGUUAUAUUAAUUAUCUAAAAAGCUCAACGGCUAAAUCUUGCCUUACUGUUUGAUUAUCAACAAAUCUUACAGUUGCGUAAGCAGGGCAUAGGAUCACAAGAUGCAACAACAGGCUAAUUUGCGCAAGAGUGUACAAAAUGAGUGCGCGGUUUGGCACCUCGAUGUCGGCUUAACUUAUCCUCAUGGAUGCAGGAACUAUGUAGGGUGCGACUGUUCGUCGAUUAAAAAGUUACAUGAGCUGGGUUAAAUACGUCGUGAGACAGUAUGGUUUCUAUCUUCUAGGGGGAAUUAGAAUAUAAUAAGAACUAACUUUUGUACGAAAGGAACAAGAAGAAUUUAAUUUGUAAAAGGGUUAAAUAAUAGUUACUAACCUAUGGUUUACCUGUUGUCUAUGUGCCCAAAUAUUAAAAUAUAUAUAUGGAGGAAGCUACCUUAAGAGUCCUUCCCCGACAAAUUAUAUAUAUCUGUAUAGCUAGCCUGGCCGGACUUCCGGUUAUGCCUGAGUUUGGCA
Molecule: ribosomal RNA, 2871 nt
Filed under: Fusarium fujikuroi
Lineage: Eukaryota; Fungi; Ascomycota; Sordariomycetes; Hypocreales; Nectriaceae
Description: LSU rRNA
Rfam family: Bacterial large subunit ribosomal RNA
Source: RNAcentral